UAAGCAGGUAGUGAAAGCGAGUGGCUCAACCACAUUUACAUUACCUGAACUGCAAAGCUAGAGGACAAGAGAGGUCACUGGGAUUCCUUGUGUAGGAGUGAAAUCCGUAGAUAUAAGGAGGAACACCGAUGGCGUAGGCAGGUGACUGGCUUGUUCCUGACGCUCAGGCACGAAAGCGUGGGUAGCAAACGGGAUUAGAUACCCCGGUAGUCCACGCUGUAAACGAUGGAUGCUA
This 235-nucleotide ribosomal RNA is filed under the name uncultured Candidatus Saccharibacteria bacterium. RNAcentral's name for it is "partial 16S ribosomal RNA". It matches the Rfam family "Bacterial small subunit ribosomal RNA", at positions 584 to 818 of the family's 1533-position model. The record is from RNAcentral. Lineage: Bacteria; Candidatus Saccharimonadota.